AAAUUGAAGAGUUUGAUCAUGGCUCAGAUUGAACGCUGGCGGCAGGCCUAACACAUGCAAGUCGAGCGGUAGCACAGAGAGCUUGCUCUCGGGUGACGAGCGGCGGACGGGUGAGUAAUGUCUGGGAAACUGCCUGAUGGAGGGGGAUAACUACUGGAAACGGUAGCUAAUACCGCAUAACGUCGCAAGACCAAAGUGGGGGACCUUCGGGCCUCAUGCCAUCAGAUGUGCCCAGAUGGGAUUAGCUAGUAGGUGGGGUAACGGCUCACCUAGGCGACGAUCCCUAGCUGGUCUGAGAGGAUGACCAGCCACACUGGAACUGAGACACGGUCCAGACUCC
This 340-nucleotide ribosomal RNA is filed under the name Klebsiella pneumoniae. Its description in RNAcentral is "bacterial SSU rRNA". It matches the Rfam family "Bacterial small subunit ribosomal RNA", at positions 1 to 339 of the family's 1533-position model. The record is from RNAcentral. Lineage: Bacteria; Pseudomonadati; Pseudomonadota; Gammaproteobacteria; Enterobacterales; Enterobacteriaceae.